GCAGUGGUGGUUCAGUGGAAGCCUCCUCACCUUCCAUGCGGGAGACCCAGGUUUGAUUCCUGGCCAAUGCA
Molecule: transfer RNA, 71 nt
Filed under: Loxodonta africana (African savanna elephant)
Lineage: Eukaryota; Metazoa; Chordata; Mammalia; Proboscidea; Elephantidae
Rfam family: tRNA
About the family: Transfer RNA (tRNA) molecules are approximately 80 nucleotides in length. Their secondary structure includes four short double-helical elements and three loops (D, anti-codon, and T loops).
Source: Rfam by way of RNAcentral